AAUUAGGUAAGCGCGGCUUUGGGGCGGCCGGGCAACAGAACGCCCCUUU
RNAcentral lists this non-coding RNA (49 nucleotides) under marine metagenome. The record is from RNAcentral.